RNAcentral lists this ribosomal RNA (459 nucleotides) under uncultured bacterium. Its description in RNAcentral is "partial 16S ribosomal RNA". It matches the Rfam family "Bacterial small subunit ribosomal RNA", at positions 338 to 795 of the family's 1533-position model. The record is from RNAcentral.
CCUACGGGAGGCAGCAGUGAGGAAUAUUGGUCAAUGGUCGGGAGACUGAACCAGUCAAGCCGCGUGAGGGAUGAAGGUACAGAGUAUCGUAAACCUCUUUUGUCAGGGAACAAAGGCGGGGACGUGUCCCCGGAUGAGUGUACCUGAAGCAAAAGCCUCGGCUAACUCCGUGCCAGCAGCCGCGGUAAUACGGAGGAUGCGAGCGUUAUCCGGAUUUAUUGGGUUUAAAGGGUGCGCAGGCGGUCUGUUAAGUCAGCGGUCAAAGCCCGGGGCUCAACCCCGGCCCGCCGUUGAAACUGGCAGUCGCGAGUUGGAGAGAAGUAUGCGGAAUGCGCGGUGUAGCGGUGAAAUGCAGAGAUAUCGCGCAGAACUCCGAUUGCGAAGGCAGCAUGCCGGCUCCACACUGACGCUGAGGCACGAAAGCGUGGGUAUCGAACAGGAUUAGAUACCCUUGUAGUC